This 503-nucleotide ribosomal RNA is filed under the name uncultured bacterium. RNAcentral's name for it is "partial 16S ribosomal RNA". It matches the Rfam family "Bacterial small subunit ribosomal RNA", at positions 29 to 523 of the family's 1533-position model. The record is from RNAcentral.
AACGACCGCUGGCGGCACGUUUUAAGCAUGCAAGUCGAAUGGCAGCAGGGGCAACUCUGUGAGAAUGGCGAACGGGUGAGUAACACGUAGGUGAUCUGCCUUGAGGAUGGGGAUAGCCUGUGGAAACACAGGGUAAUACCGAAUAAGCUGACGGGACUUUGGUUUUGUUAGUAAAGGUGCUACGGCACCGCCUUGAGAGGAGCCUGCGGCUGAUUAGCUAGUUGGUGGGGUAAAGGCCUACCAAGGCGACGAUCAGUAGCCGGCCUGAGAGGGUGUACGGCCACACUGGGACUGAGCCACGGCCCAGACUCCUACGGGAGGCAGCAGCUAAGAAUCUUCCGCAAUGGGCGAAAGCCUGACGGAGCGAUGCCGCGUGAUCGAUGAAGGUCGAGAGAUUGUAAAGAUCUUUUCUACAUGAGGAAUAAGUCUGGGAGGGAAUGCCUGGAUGAUGACGUUAGUGUAGGAAUAAGCCCCGGCUAAUUACGUGCCAGCCGCCGCCGUAA